ACGCUGGCGGCGUGCUUACCACAUGCAAGUCGAACGGAAAGGCCCUUCGGUGUACUCGAGUGGCGAACGGGUGAGAAACACGUGGGUGAUCUGCCCUGCACUUUGGGAUACGCCUGGGAAACUGGGUCUAAUACCGAAUAGGACCACCCGCUUCAUGGUGUGUGGUGGAAAGCUUUUGCGGUGUGGGAUGGGCCCGACGACUAUCACCUUGUUGGAGGGGUAAUGGCCUACCAAGGCGACGACGGGUAGCCGGCCUGAGAGGGUGACCGGCCACACUGGGACUGAGAUACGGCCCAGACUCCUACGGGAGGCAGCAGUGGGGAGUAUUGCACAAUGGGCGCAAGCCUGAUGCAGCGACGCCGCGUGAGGGAUGACGGCCUUCGGGUUGUAAACCUCUUUCAAUGGGGACGAAGCGCAAGUGACGGUACCUAUAGAAGAAGCACCGGCCAACUACGUGCCAGCAGCCGCGGUAAUACGUAGGGUGCGAGCGUUGUCCGGAAUUACUGGGCGUAAAGAGCUCGUAGGUGGUUUGUCGCGUUGUUCGUGAAAACUCACAGCUUAACUGUGGGCGUGCGGGCGAUACGGGCAGACUAGAGUACUGCAGGGGAGACUGGAAUUCCUGGUGUAGCGGUGGAAUGCGCAGAUAUCAGGAGGAACACCGGUGGCGAAGGCGGGUCUCUGGGCAGUAACUGACGCUGAGGAGCGAAAGCGUGGGGAGCGAACAGGAUUAGAUACCCUGGUAGUCCACGCCGUAAACGGUGGGUACUAGGUGUGGGUUCCUUCCUUGGGAUCCGUGCCGUAGCUAACGCAUUAAGUACCCCGCCUGGGGAGUACGGCCGCAAGGCUAAAACUCAAAGGAAUAGACGGGGGCCCGCACAAGCGGCGGAGCAUGUGGAUUAAUUCGAUGCAACGCGAAGAACCUUACCUGGGUUUGACAUGCACAGGACGCCGGCAGAGAUGUCGGUUCCCUUGUGGCCUGUGUGCAGGUGGUGCAUGGCUGUCGUCAGCUCGUGUCGUGAGAUGUUGGGUUAAGUCCCGCAACGAGCGCAACCCUCGUCCUAUGUUGCCAGCGGGUUAUGCCGGGGACUCGUAGGAGACUGCCGGGGUCAACUCGGAGGAAGGUGGGGAGGACGUCAAGUCAUCAUGCCCCCUAUGUCCAGGGCUUCACACAUGCUACAAUGGCCGGUACAAAGGGCUGCGAUGCCGUGAGGUGGAGCGAAUCCUUUCAAAGCCGGUCUCAGUUCGGAUCGGGGUGUGCAACUCGACCCCGCGAAGUCGGAGUCGCUAGUAGUCGCAGAUCAGCAACGCUGCGGUGAAAAAGUUCCCGGGCCUUGCACUCUCCGCCCGUCA
Molecule: ribosomal RNA, 1350 nt
Filed under: uncultured bacterium
Lineage: Bacteria
Description: bacterial SSU rRNA
Rfam family: Bacterial small subunit ribosomal RNA
Source: RNAcentral